This 516-nucleotide ribosomal RNA is filed under the name uncultured Streptococcus sp. Its description in RNAcentral is "bacterial SSU rRNA". It matches the Rfam family "Bacterial small subunit ribosomal RNA", at positions 27 to 524 of the family's 1533-position model. Lineage: Bacteria; Bacillati; Bacillota; Bacilli; Lactobacillales; Streptococcaceae. The record is from RNAcentral.
GGACGAACGCUGGCGGCGUGCCUAAUACAUGCAAGUAGAACGCUGAAGAGAGGAGCUUGCUCUUCUUGGAUGAGUUGCGAACGGGUGAGUAACGCGUAGGUAACCUGCCUUGUAGCGGGGGAUAACUAUUGGAAACGAUAGCUAAUACCGCAUAACAAUGGAUGACACAUGUCAUUUAUUUGAAAGGGGCAACUGCUCCACUACAAGAUGGACUUGCGUUGUAUUAGCUAGUAGGUGAGGUAACGGCUCACCUAGGCGACGAUACAUAGCCGACCUGAGAGGGUGAUCGGCCACACUGGGACUGAGACACGGCCCAGACUCCUACGGGAGGCAGCAGUAGGGAAUCUUCGGCAAUGGGGGCAACCCUGACCGAGCAACGCCGCGUGAGUGAAGAAGGUUUUCGGAUCGUAAAGCUCUGUUGUAAGUCAAGAACGAGUGUGAGAGUGGAAAGUUCACACUGUGACGGUAGCUUACCAGAAAGGGACGGCUAACUAACGUGCCAGCAGCCGCGGUAAU